This is a non-coding RNA of Musa acuminata subsp. malaccensis (wild Malaysian banana), 129 nucleotides long. Lineage: Eukaryota; Viridiplantae; Streptophyta; Magnoliopsida; Zingiberales; Musaceae. The record is from Rfam.
AUCCCAGAUAAGCUUGAUUUUGGUGCUUAUCUGAUUCAUGGGAGGCCAAUACCAACCACCGGCAGUUUCGCUGAUAGCGCAUUCUCUAUCUUUCGUGAAGGCGUUUCAUUAGUAACUCGCCGUACAUGA